AUUGAACGCUGGCGGCAGGCCUAACACAUGCAAGUCGAGCGGAUGAAGGGAGCUUGCUCCUGGAUUCAGCGGCGGACGGGUGAGUAAUGCCUAGGAAUCUGCCUGGUAGUGGGGGAUAACGUCCGGAAACGGGCGCUAAUACCGCAUACGUCCUGAGGGAGAAAGUGGGGGAUCUCCGACCCUCACGCUUUAAGAUAAGCCUAGGUCGGAUUAGCUAGUUGGUGGGGUAAAGGCCUACCAAGGCGACGAUCCGUAACUGGUCUGAGAGGAUGAUCAGUCACACUGGAACUGAGACACGGUCCAGACUCCUACGGGAGGCAGCAGUGGGGAAUAUUGGACAAUGGGCGAAAGCCUGAUCCAGCCAUGCCGCGUGUGUGAAGAAGGUCUUCGGAUUGUAAAGCACUUUAAGUUGGGAGGAAGGGCAGUAAGUUAAUACCUUGCUGUUUUGACGUUACCAACAGAAUAAGCACCGGCUAACUUCGUG
Molecule: ribosomal RNA, 484 nt
Filed under: uncultured bacterium
Lineage: Bacteria
Description: partial 16S ribosomal RNA
Rfam family: Bacterial small subunit ribosomal RNA
Source: RNAcentral